AAAACAAAAAAGAAAUAAUUAUUUAGCUUCUAACUAAUAUUAAGCGGUUCAAUUCCGUUAUUGUUUUG
RNAcentral lists this transfer RNA (68 nucleotides) under Natula pravdini. RNAcentral's name for it is "tRNA-Ser". The record is from RNAcentral. Lineage: Eukaryota; Metazoa; Arthropoda; Insecta; Orthoptera; Trigonidiidae.